This is a long non-coding RNA of Chiloscyllium plagiosum (whitespotted bambooshark), 494 nucleotides long. RefSeq lists it as uncharacterized. NCBI's taxonomy places the organism in Eukaryota, Metazoa, Chordata, Chondrichthyes, Orectolobiformes, Hemiscylliidae. The record is from RefSeq and is a predicted model, not a curated record.
AUGGGUCGAUGUUCCACAGCCAGAAGGGGAAGAAGGUGAUGUAGAAGAGCUCGUUGCCCAGCUCCGUGCCGAAGCUGAACAGUAAACCAUUGGAUUUGAUUACCAUGGAUGAUGAGAACAAAGUUUCCAUUGGCAUCUCUGAACAUGGAAAGAGAAGAAACAACAAAAUGGAAUAUUGUAAACAUUAAGCCUCACAGAGACAAAACCUUCAGUGUUUUCUACAAUUGCAAAACCAUAAUCACAAGCAGAUGUCAAUUACAACUAAGUGUUAAGUUACUGAACUCAUAAACUGUAUUUGUGUUAAAUAAUAUAUUAGCUAUCUAAAUUAAACAUUAUACAAAGAUUUAGGAUAAGUAAAAUAUUGGAAUUUACUAAGAUAUCACAAAUCUUAUUUUAAAAGAUGAUGUUGAUGUGAUGAAUUGUUUCCAAACACUCCCACCUUUACUCAAUAUUUCUUUGGCCAGAUGACUGCUUGAAAUAAAUGGUUGACCUGA